Molecule: ribosomal RNA, 319 nt
Filed under: uncultured bacterium
Lineage: Bacteria
Description: bacterial SSU rRNA
Rfam family: Bacterial small subunit ribosomal RNA
Source: RNAcentral
CGGCUAAUACCGCAUACGUCCUGUUGUCGUGGAGAUGGUGGGGAGAAAGAUUUAUCGCUCAAGGAGGGGCCCGCGUGGGAUUAGCUAAUUGGUGAGGUAACGGCUCACCAAGGCGAUGAUCCCUAGCUGGUCUGAGAGGAUGAUCAGCCACACUGGGACUGAGNCACGGCCCAGACUCCUACGGGAGGCAGCAGUGGGGANGUAUUGGACAAUGGGGGCAACCCUGAUCCAGCAAUGCCGCGUGAGUGAUGAAGGCCUUCUGGGUUGUAAAGCUCUUUCGCCCGCGACGAUGAUGACGGUAGCCGGGAGAAGAAGCCCC